This is a long non-coding RNA of Papaver somniferum (opium poppy), 744 nucleotides long. RefSeq lists it as uncharacterized. The record is from RefSeq and is a predicted model, not a curated record. NCBI's taxonomy places the organism in Eukaryota, Viridiplantae, Streptophyta, Magnoliopsida, Ranunculales, Papaveraceae. The transcript is spliced from 2 exons.
UCUUAUGUUUAAUGUGUUCACAAGCUAUGGUUUCUGAAAGGACAAUUAAUAAAAUACACCCCGUACGAUCAGUAAUUAUAAAAGUACACCCGUUACCGGAGAUAAUUGCGCACCCUCUAUCCAAAAAUCCGAUAAGGCUCACCAUCUCGAUUUAGUCCAUAUCUAACCGUACAUCUAUUAAAGCUGAUAAAUGGUUAAUGAUCAUAGCAAAUCGUAAAAUUAAUGAUGUGCCCUUCGUAUUAGAACAAAUGGAAUGAGAAAAUCGAGUUUCAUUUCUUCAUUUCUUUUUUGUCCAUCUCUCUCAAUCGGGAAUAAUGAAAAAUUACAUAUUUAAUUAAGAAGAAGAAUAUGAAAAGAAUAGAAGACAUCACGAAGACAAUAAUGAAGAAUUGAAGUUCAUGUAUGAAUCUAAGAAGAAUUCUUUCAUCUUAUUGUUCGGUUUGGGAACUGUUCUAGAGGAAUCGAAUUUGAGGUUCAAAGAGAAAUUUAGGUUUUUUAUUUUUUGUACCAAUUUAGGGUUUUUUUUGUAUGAAAUUAGAGCAUGGGUUUGUUGUAAUUUAUGUCAAUUCGGGGACUAUCAUCUUGAAUUGAAUCAAUUGACUUGUUCUGGUUUGUAAUCGUAAAGCUAGGGUUCCACAUGCUGAAAUUUAGGGGUUUUUUCAAAUAUGCUCUUAAUGUCAAAAGUUCAAAUUGAAUGAAUGGAUUCUUUUCCAAAUCUUUUCUUAAUGAAUUUGAUUCAGUUAA